This 399-nucleotide RNase P RNA is filed under the name Candidatus Dadabacteria bacterium. Its description in RNAcentral is "RNase P RNA component class A". It matches the Rfam family "Bacterial RNase P class A". Rfam says of the family: Ribonuclease P (RNase P) is a ubiquitous endoribonuclease, found in archaea, bacteria and eukarya as well as chloroplasts and mitochondria. Lineage: Bacteria; Pseudomonadati; Thermodesulfobacteriota; Candidatus Dadabacteria. The record is from RNAcentral.
AGAGCAGGGCGGGUGAUCGCGGCUUAAGUUUUUAAGCCGAGGAAAGUCGGGACUUUGCAGGGCAAGCUGGCCGCUAACAGCGGCGCCGGGCGACCGGCGGAAAGUGCCACAGAAAAGAAACCGCCUGCUCUUUCUUAAAAGCAGGUAAGGGUGAAAAGGUGGGGUAAGAGCCCACCAGCAAGAAGGGCAACCUUCUUGGCUUGGUAAACCCCAGCUAAAGCAAGGCUAAGCAGGAAAGAGCUUCCCUAUAGUUAGGGAAGAAGCACUGCCCGUGCUGUAAGAUAGCUCUUACUCUUUCCGGGUAAGCCGCUUGAGCUCUGCAGUAAUGCAGAGCCUAGAUAAAUGAUCACCACCCCUUUUUUAGGGGCACAGAAUCCCGCUUAUAGCCCAGCUCUUCCU